RNAcentral lists this ribosomal RNA (508 nucleotides) under uncultured bacterium. Its description in RNAcentral is "partial 16S ribosomal RNA". It matches the Rfam family "Bacterial small subunit ribosomal RNA", at positions 28 to 507 of the family's 1533-position model. The record is from RNAcentral.
GACGAACGCUGGCGGCGUGCCUAAUACAUGCAAGUCGAACGCUUCUUUCCUCCCGAGUGCUUGCCCUCAAUUGGAAAGAGGAGUGGCGGACGGGUGAGUAACACGUGGGUAACCUACCCAUCAGAGGGGGAUAACACUUGGAAACAGGUGCUAAUACCGCAUAACAGUUUAUGCCGCAUGGCAUAAGAGUGCAAGGCGCUUUCGGGUGUCGCUGAUGGAUGGACCCGCGGUGCAUUAGCUAGUUGGUGAGGUAACGGCUCACCAAGGCCACGAUGCAUAGCCGACCUGAGAGGGUGAUCGGCCACACUGGGACUGAGACACGGCCCAGACUCCUACGGGAGGCAGCAGUAGGGAAUCUUCGGCAAUGGACGAAAGUCUGACCGAGCAACGCCGCGUGAGUGAAGAAGGUGUUCGGAUCGUAAAACUCUGUUGUUAGAGAAGAACAAGGACGUUAGUAACUGAACGUCCCCUGACGGUAUCUAACCAGAAAGCCACGGCUAACUACGUG